GAUCCUGGCUCAGGAUGAACGCUGGCGGCGUGCUUAACACAUGCAAGUCGAACGAUUGAAGCUGGAGCUUGCUCCGGCCGAUUUAGUGGCGGACGGGUGAGUAACGCGUGGGUAACCUGCCUCAUACAGGGGGAUAGCAGUUGGAAACGACUGGUAAAACCGCAUAAGCGCACGGUAUCGCAUGAUACAGUGUGAAAACACUCCGGUGGUAUGAGAUGGACCCGCGUCUGAUAAG
This 235-nucleotide ribosomal RNA is filed under the name uncultured bacterium. RNAcentral's name for it is "partial 16S ribosomal RNA". It matches the Rfam family "Bacterial small subunit ribosomal RNA", at positions 15 to 244 of the family's 1533-position model. The record is from RNAcentral.